UCCUACGGGUGGCUGCAGUGGGGAAUUUUGGACAAUGGGGGAAACCCUGAUCCAGCAACGCCGCGUGAAUGAAGAAGGCCUUCGGGUUGUAAAGUUCUUUUGUCAGGGAGCAAAGGGUGGGUGCUAAUACCAUCUAUCGCUGAGAGUACCUGAAGAAUAAGCACCGGCUAACUACGUGCCAGCAGCCGCGGUAAUACGUAGGGUGCAAGCGUUAAUCGGAAUUACUGGGCGUAAAGCGUGCGCAGGCGGAUGAUUAAGUUAGAAGUGAAAUCCCCGGGCUCAACCUGGGAACUGCUUUUAAGACUGGUCAUCUAGAGUUUGUCAGAGGGGGGUGGAAUUCCAAGUGUAGCAGUGAAAUGCGUAGAGAUUUGGAGGAACACCGAUGGCGAAGGCAGCCCCCUGGGAUAAAACUGACGCUCAUGCACGAAAGCGUGGGUAGCAAACAGGAUUAGAUACCCCGGUAGUCC
RNAcentral lists this ribosomal RNA (467 nucleotides) under uncultured Candidatus Procaibacteraceae bacterium. RNAcentral describes it as "bacterial SSU rRNA". It matches the Rfam family "Bacterial small subunit ribosomal RNA", at positions 337 to 796 of the family's 1533-position model. Lineage: Bacteria; Pseudomonadati; Pseudomonadota; Betaproteobacteria; Candidatus Procabacteriales; Candidatus Procabacteriaceae. The record is from RNAcentral.